UACGAAGGGGGCUAGCGUUGCUCGGAAUUACUGGGCGUAAAGGGCGCGUAGGCGGACAGUUUAGUCAGAGGUGAAAGCCCAGGGCUCAACCUUGGAAUUGCCUUUGAUACUGAUUGUCUUGAGUUUGGGAGAGGUGAGUGGAACUCCGAGUGUAGAGGUGAAAUUCGUAGAUAUUGGGAAGAACACCGGUGGCGAAGGCGGCCAUCUGGCCCGUAAUUGACGCUGAGGCGCGAAAGCGUGGGGAGCAAACGGG
This 253-nucleotide ribosomal RNA is filed under the name uncultured prokaryote. Its description in RNAcentral is "partial 16S ribosomal RNA". It matches the Rfam family "Bacterial small subunit ribosomal RNA", at positions 524 to 776 of the family's 1533-position model. The record is from RNAcentral.